AACGAACGCUGGCGGCAUGCCUAACACAUGCAAGUCGAACGAGACCUUCGGGGCUAGUGGCGCACGGGUGCGUAACGCGUGGGAACCUGCCCUUAGGUUCGGAAUAACUCCCCGAAAGGGGUGCUAAUACCGGAUAAUGUCUUCGGACCAAAGAUUUAUCGCCUUUGGAUGGGCCCGCGUUGGUUUAGCUAGUUGGUAGGGUAAAAGCCUACCAAGGCGACGAUCCAUAGCUGGUCUGAGAGGAUGAUCAGCCACACUGGGACUGAGACACGGCCCAGACUCCUACGGGAGGCAGCAGUGGGGAAUAUUGGACAAUGGGCGAAAGCCUGAUCCAGCAAUGCCGCGUGAGUGAUGAAGGCCUUAGGGUUGUAAAGCUCUUUUAACCGGGAUGAUAAUGACAGUACCGGGAGAAUAAGCUCCGGCUAACUCCGUG
Molecule: ribosomal RNA, 433 nt
Filed under: uncultured bacterium
Lineage: Bacteria
Description: partial 16S ribosomal RNA
Rfam family: Bacterial small subunit ribosomal RNA
Source: RNAcentral